This 253-nucleotide ribosomal RNA is filed under the name uncultured bacterium. RNAcentral describes it as "partial 16S ribosomal RNA". It matches the Rfam family "Bacterial small subunit ribosomal RNA", at positions 524 to 776 of the family's 1533-position model. The record is from RNAcentral.
UACGGAAGGGGCGAGCGUUGUUCGGAAUCACUGGGCGUAAAGCGCGCGUAGGCGGCUUUGCAAGUGCGGCGUGAAAGUCCUGGGCUCAACCUGGGGACGGCGCUGCGGACUGCAUGGCUGGAGUCCGGAAGAGGGCGGUGGAAUUCCGAGUGUAGAGGUGAAAUUCGUAGAUAUUCGGAGGAACACCGGUGGCGAAGGCGGCCACCUGGUCCGGCACUGACGCUGUAGCGCGAAAGCGUGGGGAGCAAACAGG